RNAcentral lists this ribosomal RNA (565 nucleotides) under Actinoplanes sp. 331F10. Its description in RNAcentral is "bacterial SSU rRNA". It matches the Rfam family "Bacterial small subunit ribosomal RNA", at positions 93 to 671 of the family's 1533-position model. Lineage: Bacteria; Bacillati; Actinomycetota; Actinomycetes; Micromonosporales; Micromonosporaceae. The record is from RNAcentral.
GAGCGGCGAACGGGUGAGUAACACGUGAGUAACCUGCCCCAAACUUUGGGAUAACCCUCGGAAACGGGGGCUAAUACCGGAUAUGACACAGCUUCGCAUGGGGUCUGUGUGGAAAGUUUUUCGGUUUGGGAUGGGCUCGCGGCCUAUCAGCUUGUUGGUGGGGUGAUGGCCUACCAAGGCGACGACGGGUAGCCGGCCUGAGAGGGCGACCGGCCACACUGGGACUGAGACACGGCCCAGACUCCUACGGGAGGCAGCAGUGGGGAAUAUUGCACAAUGGGCGGAAGCCUGAUGCAGCGACGCCGCGUGAGGGAUGACGGCCUUCGGGUUGUAAACCUCUUUCAGCAGGGACGAAGCGCAAGUGACGGUACCUGCAGAAGAAGCGCCGGCCAACUACGUGCCAGCAGCCGCGGUAAGACGUAGGGCGCGAGCGUUGUCCGGAUUUAUUGGGCGUAAAGAGCUCGUAGGCGGCUUGUCGCGUCGUCCGUGAAAACCUGCAGCUCAACUGCAGGCUUGCGGGCGAUACNGGGCAGGCUAGAGUUCGGUAGGGGAGACUGGAAUUCCU